Molecule: ribosomal RNA, 218 nt
Filed under: uncultured bacterium
Lineage: Bacteria
Description: partial 16S ribosomal RNA
Rfam family: Bacterial small subunit ribosomal RNA
Source: RNAcentral
CGCACGGGUGCGUAACGCGUGGGAAUCUGCCCUUGGGUACGGAAUAACAGUUAGAAAUGACUGCUAAUACCGUAUAAUGACUCCGGUCCAAAGAUUUAUCGCCCAGGGAUGAGCCCGCGUAGGAUUAGCUAGUUGGUGAGGUAAAGGCUCACCAAGGCGACGAUCCUUAGCUGGUCUGAGAGGAUGAUCAGCCACACUGGGACUGAGACACGGCCCAG